Molecule: long non-coding RNA, 2572 nt
Filed under: Amborella trichopoda
Lineage: Eukaryota; Viridiplantae; Streptophyta; Magnoliopsida; Amborellales; Amborellaceae
Description: long non-coding RNA (ATRI_LNC001062)
Source: RNAcentral
UGGGUUUGUAUAUACACUACUGUAUAGGACCAUGUAUAUAUACCUAUUAUCAGUGAUAUAUACAAUUUCUUCUCUCCCAAUUGUGAUAGUCAAUGUAAAUUUUUUUUCUUAUUUGUACUUGUUUUUAUUAAUAUUGAUGAGUUUCAUCUUCAUCAAGUUUUCUUGUAAAUUAACAAGCAUGAAAGCAACUUAUCAUCGAGGCGGAUCUCUUUACGUUAUUCAAUAUUUAAGAUCUUGAUCUUGAUCUUGCAGGCUUGAUUUCCUUAAUGGUUCUUUCUUCUUUCUUGCAAAUACGGAAUGAAUUUUAUAGAGCUUUACUUGUGGUUUGCAAUUUUAUUAAGCAAUGUUUUUUUAACACACGCAAUCUCUUGCUUCUUUCAUUCAACUAUGGAGUGAAUUUUUUGGAACUUUACUUGUAGUUUGCAAUUUUAUUUACUUUUUCUUAAGACACAUAGCCUGCACACACACUCACACUCACACUCACACCCCCACUAAUGUAUAAGAAUGGGUUUGUAUAUACACUUCUGUAUAAGACCAUAUAUAUACCUAUUAUCAGUGAUAUAUACAGUUAUUAGCUCAAUUUGUGUAUGUACAUACCAUCGUUUUCAAAGUAUAUAUAUAUACUGAUGCAUAUAACCAUACAAUACAUUAGUUAUUAGCUAUAUAUACAGUUACUAAUGUGUAAAAAUACAUUGAUAUGUGUGUGUGUGUGAUGUCUGUAUAUGUACGAUGUGUAUACACGUAUUUGUGUGUGUGUAAAGUGCAUAAUAGUAAAUUUUCAGUGCAUUACUAUAUACGCACACUCACACUUAGGUAUAUGACCAUGUAUAUGCUUAUUAUCAGCGAUAUAUACCGUUAUUAGCUCAAUUUGCGUAUGUAUUGAUGUAUAACAAUAUAUAUCAUUGUUUUCAAAGUGUAUAUAUAUAUAUACCUAUGCAUAUAACCAUACAAUACAUUAGUUAUUCAAUAUAUAUACAGUUACUAAUGUGUAAAAAUACAUUGAUAUGUGUGUGUGUGUGUGACGUUUGUAUAUAUACGAUGUGUAUGUACGGAUUUGUGUGUUUGUGUAUAUACAGUGCAUUAAUAUAUACAUUUCUAUAUAUAUUGAUGUAUAUGAUCAUAUAUAAACUUAUUAUCAGUUUAUACAUUUAUUAACGUAUAUGUACACUGAUUUAUAUACUACACACACGCACAAACACUCACAUUCACGCACACGCACUCACACUCACACGCACACUCACACAUAUACACGCACUCACACACACACACUCGCACUCACACUCACACUCGCACUCGCACUCGCACUCGCACUCGCACUCACACUCACACUCAAACUCACACACACUCACACUCACACUCACACUCACACUCACAGAUAUAUAUAUUAUCACCUCUAAUUUGAUAUGCCUAGGCAAAAUUCCAUAUUACUUUGUAUAGAAUUAGGCAUAAGAAUGGGUAUCUUCUCUUGAUGAAUUAGGUAUGCUAAAUAUCCAAUUGUGAUAGACCAUUUAAAUAUUUUUUCUUAUUUGUACUUGUUUUUAUUAAUAUUGAAGAGCUUCAUCUGCAUCGAGUUUUCUGUUAAAUCAACGAGCAAGAAAGCAACUUAACAUCAAGGUGGAUCUCUUUACGUUAUUCGAUAUUUGAGAUCUUGAUCUUGAUUUGCUUAAUGGUUCUUUCUUCUCAUGUAUCGUACUUCUCUUUCUUCUUUUAUGCAAAUACGGAGUGAAUUUUCUGGAGCUUUAGUUGUGGUUUGCAAUUUUAUUAAGUAUUUUUCUUAACACACAAACUCUUGCUUCUUUCAUGUAAAUAUGGAGUGAAUUUUUUGGAGCUUUAGUUGUGGUUUGCAAUUUUAUUAAGUAACUUUUUCUUAACACACACACACACCACACACACACACUCACACUCACACUCACACUCACACUCACACGCACACUAAUGUAUAAGAAUGGGUUUGUAUAUACACUACUGUAUAAGACUAAGUAUAUACCUAUUAUCAGUUAUAUAUGCAGUUAUUAGCUUAAUUUGUGUAUGUAUUGAUGUAUAGCAACGUAUACCAUAUAAUAAAUUGUUAUCAACUAUUUAUACAGUUACUAGUGUGUAAAAAUACAUUGAUGUGUGUGUGUGAUGGCUGUAUAUAUACGAUGUAUAUAUACAGAUUUGUGUGUAUGUGUAAAGUACAUAACUGUAUAUUUUCAGUGCAUUAUUAUAUGCAUUUCUAUAUACAUUGACGUACAUGACUAUAUAUACACUUAUUAUCAAUUUAUACAUUUAUUAAUGUAUACAUACACUGAUUUAUAUACUACACAUAUACACGCACUCACACUUGCACUCAUACUCAUACUCACACUCACACUCACACUCACACUCACACAUACACACACUCACACUCACACUGACACUGAUAUGCGCUUGCACAUGCACACUUAUGCAUUGAUAGUGCAUACAUAAAUUUCUAUAUACACUGAUAUGUAUGAUCAUAUAGACACUUAUUAUCAAUUUAUACAGUUAGUAGUGUAUAUGUAUAUUGAAAUGUAUAUACAUACACUAAUAUGCAUAUAUAUAAAGGGUUUAU